RNAcentral lists this ribosomal RNA (1105 nucleotides) under Bacillus tequilensis. RNAcentral's name for it is "bacterial SSU rRNA". It matches the Rfam family "Bacterial small subunit ribosomal RNA", at positions 52 to 1137 of the family's 1533-position model. Lineage: Bacteria; Bacillati; Bacillota; Bacilli; Caryophanales; Bacillaceae. The record is from RNAcentral.
UACAUGCAGUCGAGCGGACAGAUGGGAAGCUUGCUUCCCUGAUGUUAGCGGCGGACGGGUGAGUAACACGUGGGUAACCUGCCUGUAAGAACUGGGAUAACUCCGGGAAACCGGGGCUAAUACCGGAUGCUUGUUUGAACCGCAUGGUUCAAACAUAAAAGGUGGCUUCGGCUACCACUUACAGAUGGACCCGCGGCGCAUUAGCUAGUUGGUGAGGUAAUGGCUCACCAAGGCGACGAUGCGUAGCCGACCUGAGAGGGUGAUCGGCCACACUGGGACUGAGACACGGCCCAGACUCCUACGGGAGGCAGCAGUAGGGAAUCUUCCGCAAUGGACGAAAGUCUGACGGAGCAACGCCGCGUGAGUGAUGAAGGUUUUCGGAUCGUAAAGCUCUGUUGUUAGGGAAGAACAAGUACCGUUCGAAUAGGGCGGUACCUUGACGGUACCUAACCAGAAAGCCACGGCUAACUACGUGCCAGCAGCCGCGGUAAUACGUAGGUGGCAAGCGUUGUCCGGAAUUAUUGGGCGUAAAGGGCUCGCAGGCGGUUUCUUAAGUCUGAUGUGAAAGCCCCCGGCUCAACCGGGGAGGGUCAUUGGAAACUGGGGAACUUGAGUGCAGAAGAGGAGAGUGGAAUUCCACGUGUAGCGGUGAAAUGCGUAGAGAUGUGGAGGAACACCAGUGGCGAAAGCGACUCUCUGGUCUGUAACUGACGCUUAGGAGCGAAAGCGUGGGGAGCGAACAGGAUUAGAUACCCUGGUAGUCCACGCCGUAAACGAUGAGUGCUAAGUGUUAGGGGGUUUCCGCCCCUUAGUGCUGCAGCUAACGCAUUAAGCACUCCGCCUGGGGAGUACGGUCGCAAGACUGAAACUCAAAGGAAUUGACGGGGGCCCGCACAAGCGGUGGAGCAUGUGGUUUAAUUCGAAGCAACGCGAAGAACCUUACCAGGUCUUGACAUCCUCUGACAAUCCUAGAGAUAGGACGUCCCCUUCGGGGGCAAAAUGACAAGUGGUGCAUGGUUGUCGUCACCUCCUGUCCUGAAAAUGUUGGGUUAAUUCCCCCAACAAAGGCAACCCUUGAUCUUAUUUGCCACCAUUCAUUUGGGCA